CCUACGGGUGGCAGCAGUGGGGAAUAUUGGUCAAUGGGCGCAAGCCUGACCCAGCCACGUCGCGUGAAGGAAGAAGGCUCUCGGGUUGUAAACCUCUUUUUAGAGGGAAGAGCAGAAGACGGUACCUCUUGAAUAAGCCACGGCUAAUUACGUGCCAGCAGCCGCCGUCAUACGUCGGUGGCAAUCGUUGUCCGGAUGUACUGGGUGUAAAGGGCGUGCAGCCGGGAAGACAAGUCAGAUGUGAAAUUCCGCGGCUCAACCGCGGAACUGCAUGUGACACUGUUUUUCUUGAGUACCGGAGAGGUAGUCGGAAUUCCUGGUGUAGCGGUGAAAUGCGUAGAUAUAAGGAAGAACACCGGUGGCGAAGGCGGAUGACUGGACGGCAACUGACGGUGAGGCGCGAAAGCGUGGGGAGCAAACAGGAGUAGAUACCCCAGUAGUC
RNAcentral lists this ribosomal RNA (442 nucleotides) under uncultured bacterium. RNAcentral describes it as "partial 16S ribosomal RNA". It matches the Rfam family "Bacterial small subunit ribosomal RNA", at positions 338 to 795 of the family's 1533-position model. The record is from RNAcentral.